Armigeres subalbatus is the source of this 1242-nucleotide long non-coding RNA. RefSeq lists it as uncharacterized. The record is from RefSeq and is a predicted model, not a curated record. NCBI's taxonomy places the organism in Eukaryota, Metazoa, Arthropoda, Insecta, Diptera, Culicidae. The transcript is spliced from 3 exons.
UUGAUUCGCAUGGAUGGUGUCUAUCGCGUUUUAGCGGUAACUUAUCGAGUAGCUGACAUUGGGGUUAGUAGCAAUGAAAUGAAAUUUUCUCUAGAUUCUGCUUCGGUUUUGUCGCUGCAUGUGAUUGGGAAGGUGCAUUACUGAAAACAAAUGGUUUCUUUUCAGAAUAAUAAUUUCACACGAGAGAAGAUUGAGCCGAGACGAAUAUUUUUUAAAGUACAAACCAUAAGCUUUGUUGCUGCUUGUGAUUGGAUAGGCGUAUUGUGGAAAACAAAUUGGUUCUGUAAGGUUCUCUCUAUGAAAUUAUGAUGUAACUCUCAGGAUGAAACUAGAAAUAAUCGGUUAACAUUUCCUGAACGAUUGCUACGGGAAUGAACGGCAAAAAUCGACAUAGUAGUCGUAAUUACAAGGAUGACAGUUUUGUUAUGAAUCACGGACAAGUAAUGGCGUUUCAUGGCAGGUCAGAUCUUACAGGUUCUUAUCAUAACCAUCAUAUUACAUGGGAGCCAAACUUCUGAGGCGAAUUUUCUUCAAAGUGCAAUUCAUAAUUGCUUGAGAGCAACAGAACAACGCCGUAUUCAAAUAAAUAUGAAAAUUGCUAACAGUUGAGUAAAUUUUCAAUCGAAUAUCAUCUUUAAUCCCAGCACCUACUAAUCUAAGAACCUACAGAGAUUUCAUCUGGUUCAUGAAGCAGUUUCUCUAUCUGGAUUGUGCUUCGGAUCCAACUAUAGCGACUACUCUGGGUGGCACAUGUCUCGAUCUAACGUCCACAAGGAACGUGGAAAGUGUGGAAUGCAGGAGAUACUGCACGUACUUCUCCUACCGCCGGCCUAUUUUGACGAUUCUUGCGAUGUCCCGAGAACCAAUGCCAUCCCAGUGAAGUGGAUUAACGUCACUGAUCGUCGUUGUUCCGCUAGCUCAUCUGCUAAAAUGUUUGAUUUCAACCUGAAUGACCAAUCAUUGACAUCAGCCGUACAGUCCGUAGCAAAAAUAGAAAAUUCAUCCUGAAAAUGAAGCUUGAGUAUUUGAUUCAGCCCAACAGUGCAUUGAUUGAUACAGCCUUUAACAUUCAUCGGGACCACGGCGUACAUCACUUCAAAAGGCUUCAAGCCAACAUAAACAAAUGGCCCUUUUCAGGGGCACCAAAUAUUUAUGUAGGAAGUUGUUGUUAAGGUUGUUGUUUACCGAACUUCUGUUUCUUUAAUACUGUGUUUAUAGUUAUAAACCGAAAUGAGUUUAUAG